Molecule: ribosomal RNA, 728 nt
Filed under: Bacillus cereus
Lineage: Bacteria; Bacillati; Bacillota; Bacilli; Caryophanales; Bacillaceae
Description: bacterial SSU rRNA
Rfam family: Bacterial small subunit ribosomal RNA
Source: RNAcentral
UAAUACAUGCAAGUCGAGCGAAUGGAUUAAGAGCUUGCUCUUAUGAAGUUAGCGGCGGACGGGUGAGUAACACGUGGGUAACCUGCCCAUAAGACUGGGAUAACUCCGGGAAACCGGGGCUAAUACCGGAUAACAUUUUGAACCGCAUGGUUCGAAAUUGAAAGGCGGCUUCGGCUGUCACUUAUGGAUGGACCCGCGUCGCAUUAGCUAGUUGGUGAGGUAACGGCUCACCAAGGCAACGAUGCGUAGCCGACCUGAGAGGGUGAUCGGCCACACUGGGACUGAGACACGGCCCAGACUCCUACGGGAGGCAGCAGUAGGGAAUCUUCCGCAAUGGACGAAAGUCUGACGGAGCAACGCCGCGUGAGUGAUGAAGGCUUUCGGGUCGUAAAACUCUGUUGUUAGGGAAGAACAAGUGCUAGUUGAAUAAGCUGGCACCUUGACGGUACCUAACCAGAAAGCCACGGCUAACUACGUGCCAGCAGCCGCGGUAAUACGUAGGUGGCAAGCGUUAUCCGGAAUUAUUGGGCGUAAAGCGCGCGCAGGUGGUUUCUUAAGUCUGAUGUGAAAGCCCACGGCUCAACCGUGGAGGGUCAUUGGAAACUGGGAGACUUGAGUGCAGAAGAGGAAAGUGGAAUUCCAUGUGUAGCGGUGAAAUGCGUAGAGAUAUGGAGGAACACCAGUGGCGAAGGCGACUUUCUGGUCUGUAACUGACACUGAGGCGCGAA